UACGAAGGGGGCUAGCGUUGCUCGGAAUUAUUGGGCGUAAAGCGCGCGCAGGCGGUCCUUUAAGUCUGAUGUGAAAGCCCACGGCUCAACCGUGGAGGGUCAUUGGAAACUGGGGGACUUGAGUACAGAAGAGGAAAGCGGAAUUCCACGUGUAGCGGUGAAAUGCGUAGAGAUGUGGAGGAACACCAGUGGCGAAGGCGGCUUUUUGGUCUGUAACUGACGCUGAGGCGCGAAAGCGUGGGGAGCAAACAGG
This 253-nucleotide ribosomal RNA is filed under the name uncultured bacterium. Its description in RNAcentral is "partial 16S ribosomal RNA". It matches the Rfam family "Bacterial small subunit ribosomal RNA", at positions 524 to 776 of the family's 1533-position model. The record is from RNAcentral.